UGGGGAAUAUUGGACAAUGGGCGAAAGCCUGAUCCAGCAAUGCCGCGUGAGUGAAGAAGGCCUUAGGGUUGUAAAGCUCUUUCGCCUGCGACGAUGAUGACGGUAGCAGGAGAAGAAGCCCCGGCUAAUUCCGUGCCAGCAGCCGCGGUAAUACGGAAGGGGCUAGCGUUGUUCGGAAUCACUGGGCGUAAAGCGCGCGUAGGCGGCUUGGCAAGUGAGGCGUGAAAGUCCUGGGCUCAACCCGGGGACGGCGUUUCAGACUGCUUGGCUAGAGUCCGGAAGAGGGUGGUGGAAUUCCGAGUGUAGAGGUGAAAUUCGUAGAUAUUCGGAGGAACACCGGCGGCGAAGGCGGCCACCUGGUCCGGAACUGACGCUCAAGUGCGAAAGCGUGGGGAGCAAAC
Molecule: ribosomal RNA, 401 nt
Filed under: uncultured bacterium
Lineage: Bacteria
Description: bacterial SSU rRNA
Rfam family: Bacterial small subunit ribosomal RNA
Source: RNAcentral